This 376-nucleotide long non-coding RNA is filed under the name Physcomitrium patens. RNAcentral's name for it is "long non-coding RNA (PPAT_LNC008048)". Lineage: Eukaryota; Viridiplantae; Streptophyta; Bryopsida; Funariales; Funariaceae. The record is from RNAcentral.
AAGUCACUGUUUAUUUUGGUAUUUCGGAUUUUAUAUAAAACAUUGAUGGUUUGCAUUCUCAAUCGGUUUGUGCAAGUCGUGUAGCAUCUAUGGAUCAAAAUUUAGUAUUGUCUGGAUAGUCAGGUGUGCUAAGUGUAUACAAAAAUUUGUGUUAAUCUAACGAUGCAAUCAAGAGAUAUCUAGGUUUUAGUACAAAGGGUUGUCGGAAGUUGGCAGUCUGGGGUUGAAUAGGGUUUCUGUGAUAUCUGAAGAUCUACUUGUUGGAUCGACGUAAUUUUUGGCUUGGUAAUAGAAGAUUUGGAGAUCAAGUGGCUAUUCAAUUUUGAGCUAGAGUUAACCGUUGAUAAAGGAAAAAUCACUUCUGGAGUUUCUACAU